This 120-nucleotide ribosomal RNA is filed under the name uncultured bacterium. Its description in RNAcentral is "partial 16S ribosomal RNA". It matches the Rfam family "Bacterial small subunit ribosomal RNA", at positions 29 to 159 of the family's 1533-position model. The record is from RNAcentral.
AACGAACGCUGGCGGCAUGCCUAACACAUGCAAGUCGAACGAAGGCUUCGGCCUUAGUGGCGCACGGGUGCGUAACGCGUGGGAAUCUACCCUUAGGUUCGGAAUAACUCAGAGAAAUUU